This 492-nucleotide ribosomal RNA is filed under the name uncultured bacterium. RNAcentral's name for it is "partial 16S ribosomal RNA". It matches the Rfam family "Bacterial small subunit ribosomal RNA", at positions 28 to 507 of the family's 1533-position model. The record is from RNAcentral.
GAUGAACGCUCGCUAUAGGCUUAACACAUGCAAGUCGAGGGGAAACGGCAUUAUGUGCUUGCACAUUUUGGACGUCGACCGGCGCACGGGUGAGUAUCGCGUAUCCAACCUGCCCUUUACUUGGGGAUACCCCGUUGAAAGACGGCCUAAUACCCGAUGUAAUUCAUUGAUGGCAUCAGAUAUGAAUAAAAGAUUUAUCGGUAAAGGAUGGGGAUGCGUCUGAUUAGCUUGUUGGUGAGGUAACGGCUCACCAAGGCGACGAUCAGUAGGGGUUCUGAGAGGAAGGUCCCCCACAUUGGAACUGAGACACGGUCCAAACUCCUACGGGAGGCAGCAGUGAGGAAUAUUGGGCAAUGGGCGCAAGCCUGAACCAGCCAAGUAGCGUGCGGGAAGACGGCCCUAUGGGUUGUAAACUGCUUUUAUACGAGAAUAAUUUGAUGCACGUGUGCGUUAUUGCAUGUAUCGUAUGAAUAAGGACCGGCUAAUUCCGUG